UGCCCAGCAGAGACAUGAAAGUGCCUCUAAUAUUGCUAAUAAUCAUGUGCGCUGUUACUAUCCCAUUUUGCCACCUUAAGAAAAGUCAUGGGUGCCUAAAAGGAAAAAAAGGAGAGAAUCAAUUCGCGUUUAAUCCAAAUCAUCCGUGCAUAACAUAUUGCAGAAACAAAUACGGUACGCCUACAACCGAACACCACAUGCCUGCUCUUGCUAAACCUGUCUGUUUAAGGGGGAAAUGCAAGUGUGCCGUAAAUUACUAUUACUAUCCACUUCUUUCAAAAUGGGAUAAAAUUAGAUCAUUGUGUUUUUUUCAUUUCAUUUGCCGGCCUGUAUUUCGAAAACUUCAAAAAAAGUGUUUGAACACUCCGAUUGAUUGUGUUUACGGCAAAUAAUAGUUUGUGUUGAUAACAGAACCCUCUGUUCACAGGGCUCCUGCUCUUUCUUUAUUAUACUUGCAAAAACAUUUUUGUUGUGAGAACAGAACUUCGGUCGUGAGCACAGAGUACUGUGUCCUCAUAAUGGAAAAACGGGAGGACAAAGGGCACCAGGCCCUUUACGCAGAGCAAGGGAAUUUUUUCCCUCCCCCUUAAAAAUCAUCGAUUCUCCACAAAAAAUUGCUAAAAAUCGAUGUAACCGAUCAUUGUGUAAACUUGUGAACAUCAAAGAUCGAAAAUACGUUUAAAGUUAAACAUGGAACUGAUAUGUUUAACAUGUGUAAACAACAAUAAGAACAUCAAUUCAACAAGAAAAGGAUAAAAAUCAGGUGAAAUUUUGGCCAAUUUGCCCCCCGUAACUCAAAAACGGUUCCUAUACUUAUCUAGAAAUUUUUUCGUGAGUUUUAUGUUAACAUAAGCUUCCUUUUAAUUCAUAGUGCGAUGACAAAAUCGACUCUUCCUAAAGAGGAGCACAUUUUUGGGAGGCUCUUUCCGUUUUGACAGCGCAAUAUUACCCUUUUUAAACAUUGUAGUCGGCGUUUUUCUAACUUCAAUCUACAAUCUGUUACAAUCUAGUAAAGCUGCAAAACCUCGAAUUUCGUUCACCACGAUUCAAAAUUUUCGCUAUCAUUUUAGUUCAUCAUAAGGAAAAAAAAACCAGCAUUAUUGGUUGAAGUUUUUAUUGAGUAUUCCUCACACAGAGCAGGCAAUUCAAGGAAGUUUUCGUAAAAUGGCGUUAAAUAUUUUUCCAUAACAUAUUAUUAUUAGAGGUCUGCAGUGUCGGACCCCAAGUUACGCGUUUUCGUGGUUUCGCCGUCGUCGAUGUGCACUGGGGAAAAAAAGUCGCUUGGAUCUAGAAGUCCAGACUCUUAAAAACAUUGACAAGAAAAAAUACUCUUGAUUCAAUCGGACUUUUUGCUUGAAUCAAUUGGAAAUCCGCCUAAAUCAAAAGGCUCGGCUCUUCGAUUCAAGAAGAAACCGGAUUGAAUCAAGAGUAUUGUUUCUUGUCGAUGUUAUUAAGAGUCUGGACUCUAGAUCCAAGCGACUUUUUCUUCCAGUGUGAAGAAGAUUCAUUGGCGGAAUAUUCCAAUGCCAACGGCAACAUGUCAAAGAGACGCCAGGCCGAUCGGCAUGGCAGCCAGAGAUGCGAAGACACACAAAUCGAAUGCGUAAGACGUCCGGAUCUGGGCCGCGGAGGGAAAUGAAUAAUGAAAGAUUCCUCUCCGCGAAGACAAAUCGACGCUCCUCCAACGUAAGGGCGUAUAUCGAUGUCCACGUGAGCCCUGCUUUACAUAUAAAUCCAUGGUAUCUGGGGCUCUUGCAGAAAUCGAGAUACGCCUUUACGUCGGAGGGGCGACGGAAUAUCGGCCGAGGGACGUCCGUCGCGUCCUCGGAAAGUGAGUCGGCAUAAUUCCAGACGUCCAACCUGGCCGAGGACGCUUCCGAUCCGUUGACGGAGGGUAUCACAACGUCGCGUCCGUUUCCAAUGAGGACGUUUGUUAUGUUUGGGGCUCGGACCCGGACGGGUGAUGACGUUGUCGGAGCCGUUUAGAGAGACGACUCUCGUGUCGAUACCGUUGUCUAGAUGCCGAGGACAAUGAGAGGAACGUUGAAUUUACUGGGGGACUUCCGAUAUUUUGAGAGGGCUAAUUCAGAUAAGCUCAUUUUAUUGCAUGGGAAGUCGCGAUCAGGUUCGAUGGAGCUUGGAAGAUCGUGUAGCGUUUUUGGCCUGGAAGUCGGUAGGAGCAAAUUGAAAUAAAUAGUAAACGGGAUAAGAAUUUGUAAGCAACGGGGGAUAUAAUUUAUGUCUGAAUUUUAAGCAAAGUCGGUUAAACAUACUUUGGAAAAAAAACACAUUGGAUCUACAGUUCAGACUCUUUAAAAUAUUGACAAGAAAAAAUACUCUUGAUUUAAUCGGAUUUUUUCUUGAAUCAAAACGGAAUCCACUUAAAUUAAGAGGCUUGGUUCUUGAUUUAAGCUAGAUUCUGAUUGAAUCAAGAGUGAUUUUUCUUGUCGAUGUAUUUAUGAGUCUGGACUCCAGAUCCAACGUGUUUUUUUUCCGGGGUACUAAAAAUUAAUGAAGUUCCACUUAAACAGCACCAUUUUAUAAUGAAUGCGAUAAAAAGAACUAAGGUGUUGUGAUGUUGUGGAACCACAACAAUUAACUUCACCACUAAAAGUAUUCAUGAUCAACACAAUAUGAUAGAAUAAUAAGCAUGCCUUUAUUGUAUGGAUUAAAAUCAGAUGAUUUGAAGUACAUUUUGCACUAGGGGGCGGUUUUUUCUAGUUUACGUAUUUCAAGAAGUAUUUGCAAAUGUUCUUUCAAUUUCAUUGUAUCUUGGUGGAUCCUGACCUGUCUUUAAAGACAUGGCGGAAAGGAGCCAGGUUUGAGCUACGUCCAACUGUUGUCAACAGCCGGAAACGCCUUCAGUUUUGCGGGAUACUUCACCGCCCACACCAGAGUUAGAAUAUUUGUAUCAUGCAUUGCCGUGCAGACUCCUCUGCUUUUCUAAGAUUUAUGAAGUCACGCAUUUAGCCGGGAUCACCUUAGCACUGGAAACUGUUAGCACAUUAUAUCAUCAGUUUACCCUUACAGUUGCGUGAUUUUACAAUUGCGUAAAAACUUUCCGUUCCAACUUGCAAAAUGCGGUCUGAUUUGAAUUUUCCGCCCACAACAUUAGCAUCAUGUCAAAGCUCUUGUUGAAAACAAUCGUUUCACUUGGAAUAUGAGUACCUCUUUGUCUCCCGAACCUGGAGAAAAGUUGUGGGCCGCAAUUUGAGAUUUUACAUUUCUCCGAAAUUUUUUCCGCCUUUCAAAUCCUACUACCUUGAAACAUCCCAGCUCCGGUGAGGUUCAAAAUGAAUUUUGAAAUUGGGUGGUAAAGUUCGGUCAAUUUUCAAGAAUUUUUUCAAUUUUUAAGUGGGACACCAAAACGAUAGCAACAUCCUUGACUAUUACACCCCACUCCCCGUGUAAUAAUCUGUAUUAAUACUUGUCGGAGGGCAUGCUUAUAUAAAUUGUUUUUUUUAGAUUUGUGUAAUAUUCUUGAAGCAAGAGAUUGUCUCUGAUUCUAUGCUCGUUGUAUUUAUUACUAAGCUAGACCUUCAAAGAUAAAAUUAGCCUUACUACAUAAAUCACUGCCUGAUUUCCUCUCGUGAUUAAUGUUUGUGCCGAAAAAUAUAAUUGUAAACAAAAUGAUUCUGAAUUGAAAUUUUGUGAGUACAUUUUUUUAGAAAUCUGAAAAACUUCAAGUAGGUGUGCUGCAUAGUUUUCUGUCAGUAAAAUAAAGCU
RNAcentral lists this long non-coding RNA (3726 nucleotides) under Bemisia tabaci. RNAcentral's name for it is "lncRNA ENSASIAIIG009514". The record is from RNAcentral. Lineage: Eukaryota; Metazoa; Arthropoda; Insecta; Hemiptera; Aleyrodidae.